Molecule: ribosomal RNA, 427 nt
Filed under: uncultured Trebouxia photobiont
Lineage: Eukaryota; Viridiplantae; Chlorophyta; Trebouxiophyceae; Trebouxiales; Trebouxiaceae
Description: bacterial SSU rRNA
Rfam family: Bacterial small subunit ribosomal RNA
Source: RNAcentral
GAACGCAUACUUUAGAGUAUGAGUGGCAGACGGGUGAGUAACGCGUGAGACAUCUACCUUACAGCCCGGUAUAAAUAUCUAUAUAGAGGCGAAAAUCUUUAUAUAUGAGUGAAUCCCGGAUAUUUUGAAUAAAAAAAAAGGCAAAGAAUCGUUGUAAGAUGAGCUCGCGUAGGAUUAGGUAGUUGGUAAGGUAAAAGCUUAUCCAAGCCGAUGAUCCUUAGCUGUUCUGAGAGGAUGAUCAGCCACACUGGGACUGAGACACGGCCCAGACGCUUUUGAGCGGCAGCAGCGAGGAAUUUUGGACAAUGGGCGAAAGCCUGAUCCAGCUAUAUCGCAUGAAUGAAGAAGGCUCAAUUGGUUGUAAAAUUCAUAGUUUCAUUGUAGAUUAUGACAUUGAUGAAAUGAAUAGUCCCGGCCAACUCCGUGC